UACAGAGGUCUCAAGCGUUGUUCGGAUUCAUUGGGCGUAAAGGGUGCGUAGGCGGCGCGGUAAGUCGGGUGUGAAAUCUCGGGGCUCAACCCCGAGCGGUCGUGAGAAACUGGCAGGCUAGAGUGCGGGAGAGGAGAGUGGAAUUCCUGGUGUAGCGGUGAAAUGCGCAGAUAUCAGGAAGAACACCCGUGGCGAAGGCGGCUCUCUGGGACGGUACUGACGCUGAGACGCGAAAGCGUGGGGAGCGAACAGG
This 253-nucleotide ribosomal RNA is filed under the name uncultured bacterium. Its description in RNAcentral is "partial 16S ribosomal RNA". It matches the Rfam family "Bacterial small subunit ribosomal RNA", at positions 524 to 776 of the family's 1533-position model. The record is from RNAcentral.